Ornithodoros turicata is the source of this 870-nucleotide long non-coding RNA. RefSeq lists it as uncharacterized. The transcript is spliced from 2 exons. The record is from RefSeq and is a predicted model, not a curated record. Lineage: Eukaryota; Metazoa; Arthropoda; Arachnida; Ixodida; Argasidae.
CUGACGACGGGUGUGAGCAGCAGCGAGCAGGUUCUUUCGGCAAGCGACAGAUUACGGCAGUGGUCUACAGCAGGGAACGGCAAUUGCCACGGCACAGGACUUGCUACACAGCAGAUGACUUCGCAACAGUUCGGCAACACCUCCGCCGUCCUCUGGGCCUGACCUCAGCUGGGUCUGACCUCCUUCGGCAACACCUCCGCUGCGCCUGAACUUGACGCUACAGACGCUUUCCGGCCACAGCGACCCCGGGUCAGAAGACUUCGUCACCGACGCUUGCCAAACGCCAGUCCGUGUGGCUGGCUGUGGUCUUUCCGAUGGCAUCCUGCACUUUGCAGAUGCAUGAUAAGGUGGGAGUGUGGCGAUAAAAAGAUGUUAUCGCUGAUAGCCUUCUUUUGACGUUUGUUAGUUUAUCCCUUAUUUCCUAACCCAGGCAGCACAAUGUACUGAAAGUCGAGUGCAAUAGGGGUGGACGGGUACGUGGAAGGCCUUGAAUAGACUGGUGAAACUAAAGUACAUUGAUAAGACUCAUACCGUCCACCCCUAUUGCACUCGACUUUCGGUACAUUGUGCUGCUUGGGAAUUCUUUUCUUUUAUUGAAUUCUUUUUUUAUUUUCUUGCUUGGCACUCAGCAAAGAGAGCCGCCGUCCCGUUUGGCAGACCUUUCCCCGGGUUUUCUUUUUUUCGUCUAAUAAAUAUAUGCCCCACCUUGCACGCCACCACCUUUUUUCACUAAGAGGAAACCUGAAGCUUGUUUAAGCCAUAGCGCGGAAAAGAAAUGCAUCAUGACGACUGUUGCUGAUAGAUUACGACCCAGUGGUCUUCUGCAGGGAGCGGCGGUGUAUGCGAAUAAACAUGCUGUUGUUGGUUGGA